AUUCUAGUAGCUACAGCAAAAUGGCUGAAUUGAUAGUAGAAAGACACUGUAGGCCAAUACAGCUGAGGCUGAGAUUCCUUGGCACCACAUCCAAAGGCAUGUCUGAAAGCUGUGCAUCUAAAGCCGGCAGCUGGACAAAAGAUAAUGUGCCAGUGAUGGUUUCCUAUUUCAGAAGGAUAGGAAGAAGUGCAGAGAAUGAAGCACCCCAAUUCCUGAGAACCAGCCCUGAGGAAAUGUGUCUUCCAUUGGCUGCAGAGGCUUUUGUGUGAUAUCUGUGCAAGGCCACCAUACUGACACUUUGCCCAAUGUGAUCAAAGGGAUAUCACAAAAGCUCCCAUCUAGGGCUACUUUGUGAAGUUAGUAAAAAUGUAAUCUUUGUAUAAGGUA
Molecule: long non-coding RNA, 387 nt
Organism: Hemicordylus capensis (graceful crag lizard)
Lineage: Eukaryota; Metazoa; Chordata; Lepidosauria; Squamata; Cordylidae
Exons: 2
Source: RefSeq, a predicted model, not a curated record